This 479-nucleotide ribosomal RNA is filed under the name uncultured bacterium. RNAcentral's name for it is "partial 16S ribosomal RNA". It matches the Rfam family "Bacterial small subunit ribosomal RNA", at positions 28 to 523 of the family's 1533-position model. The record is from RNAcentral.
GACGAACGCUGGCGGCGUGCCUAACACAUGCAAGUCGAGCGAGUGAAUCUCCUUCAGGAGUGAAGCUAGCGGCGGACGGGUGAGUAACACGUGGGCAACCUGCCUCAUAGAGGGGAAUAGCCUUUCGAAAGGAAGAUUAAUACCGCAUAAGAUUGUAGCUUCGCAUGAAGUAGCAAUUAAAGGAGCAAUCCGCUAUGAGAUGGGCCCGCGGCGCAUAGCUAGUUGGUGAGGUAACGGCUCACCAAGGCGACGAUGCGUAGCCGACCUGAGAGGGUGAUCGGCCACAUUGGGACUGAGACACGGCCCAGACUCCUACGGGAGGCAGCAGUGGGGAAUAUUGCACAAUGGGGGAAACCCUGAUGCAGCAACGCCGCGUGAGUGAUGACGGCCUUCGGGUUGUAAAGCUCUGUCUUCAGGGACGAUAAUGACGGUACCUGAGGAGGAAGCCACGGCUAACUACGUGCCAGCAGCCGCCGUAA